This 492-nucleotide ribosomal RNA is filed under the name uncultured bacterium. Its description in RNAcentral is "partial 16S ribosomal RNA". It matches the Rfam family "Bacterial small subunit ribosomal RNA", at positions 29 to 507 of the family's 1533-position model. The record is from RNAcentral.
AGUGAACGCUGGCGGUAGGCCUAACACAUGCAAGUCGAACGGCAGCACAGUAAGAGCUUGCUCUUACGGGUGGCGAGUGGCGGACGGGUGAGGAAUACAUCGGAAUCUACUUUUUCGUGGGGGAUAACGUAGGGAAACUUACGCUAAUACCGCAUACGACCUACGGGUGAAAGCAGGGGAUCUUCGGACCUUGCGCGAUUGAAUGAGCCGAUGUCGGAUUAGCUAGUUGGCGGGGUAAAGGCCCACCAAGGCGACGAUCCGUAGCUGGUCUGAGAGGAUGAUCAGACACACUGGAACUGAGACACGGUCCAGACUCCUACGGGAGGCAGCAGUGGGGAAUAUUGGACAAUGGGCGCAAGCCUGAUCCAGCCAUACCGCGUGGGUGAAGAAGGCCUUCGGGUUGUAAAGCCCUUUUGUUGGGAAAGAAAAGCAGCAGGUUAAUACCCAGCUGUUCUGACGGUACCCAAAGAAUAAGCACCGGCUAACUUCGUG